RNAcentral lists this long non-coding RNA (580 nucleotides) under Arabidopsis lyrata. RNAcentral's name for it is "long non-coding RNA (ALYR_LNC002163)". The record is from RNAcentral. Lineage: Eukaryota; Viridiplantae; Streptophyta; Magnoliopsida; Brassicales; Brassicaceae.
AGAAAACCUUAAAGAUACCAUAUCUUAUCUGGUUUCGUUUUUUUUUUUGUCGUCUAGAUUUAUUAUUAGUUGCAAAUUAUGAGAACUGUUACAUAGACGAUUCUACAACUGACAAUUCAUUCCGACCCUUACUAGAUUCACGACACACUACACUUCCUUCUUCGUAAUCUUGAUGAAUACCUUCAAUGAUCCACAACCUGGCGACACUUCAUUCUCUGCGUAGAAUCCUGACGAACGGCUAUAAUUGUACAUUGCUGGAGAUCUCUUGCACACUUGCCUCCAUUAAUCUGCAAAUUUGUUAAUAAAUCGCAAUACCUGGGACUCGAACCCCAGACUUUUUGGUGUAGAAGCACUAAACAACCCUUGGUCAACCAAUGGGUCAAGGGGGCUUCCACAUCUGGUUUCGUUUAUGAUUUUUAAAAAUAUAAUAUUAUAUGGUUUAAUGAAUAUUUUAUUUAGGUCACCCGAUUAUCAAGGUGUAGACCAAAAUCGAUCUCUAAACCCUAGCUGCUCCUUCAAGAGAGAUUUUGGUCUUCACUCGAUCUACACCUUGAUAUAAUAACAUUAUUCUAAAUCAAGC